UACGUAGGUGGCGAACGUUAUCCGGAGUGACUGGGUGUAAAGGGUCCGUAGGCGGGAGAGCAAGUCUGACGUGAAAGCGCCUGGCUCAACUAGGCGAGUGCGUUGGAAACUGCUGUUCUUGAAUCACGCAGAGGUCGGCGGAAUUCCCGGUGUAGUGGUGGAAUGCGUAGAGAUCGGGAGGAACCUCGAAAGCGAAGGCAGCCGACUGGGGGAUGAUUGACGCUGAGGGACGAAAGCGUGGGGAGCGAACAGG
Molecule: ribosomal RNA, 253 nt
Filed under: uncultured prokaryote
Description: partial 16S ribosomal RNA
Rfam family: Bacterial small subunit ribosomal RNA
Source: RNAcentral